Long non-coding RNA from Pogoniulus pusillus (Red-fronted tinkerbird), 237 nucleotides. RefSeq lists it as uncharacterized. The transcript has 2 exons. NCBI's taxonomy places the organism in Eukaryota, Metazoa, Chordata, Aves, Piciformes, Lybiidae. The record is from RefSeq and is a predicted model, not a curated record.
GAAGCUCUCUCCAGUGCCAUUGCUACUGCCUCCAGUCCCAAGCUGUCCUCCCCAGCCACCCUUCAGCCUUGUCACCCUGUGCAGAACACAUGGCUCCGGGCAGUCAGACUCCAGCUGUGAAGAGACCUUCUCUGACCUGUUUUGGGACCGAAGCCAAAGCCUCUCCCCUCCAUCUUGGGUCGUGAAGGCAUUUACUGAGUAGCAGUGGAGAUCAGAGCAUGACAAGGGACCAGAGAA